AACCCUGCCUUUCCUGGCCCUGAAAGAGGCCAGAAGAGGGUGUCUUAGUUAAAGAUCCUGAAGUUCCAAAGAUGGGUGGUCGUCAAUGGUCACAACCACCGAGGGCUUUCCCCAACCUGAGCCAAACAUCCCCCAUGGUAGUAUUAAGUAAGGUGUGUUGCAGCUACCUAUUCGAGUCUCCCUCUGUGCACUUGGCCCAGAGAACCAAGGAAAUGAAGGAGCAGAAUUGCUUCCUUGCGUGAAGGGCUUUGGACCACCUUCACUAAGGUGGGGAGGAGUCUCCCACCCCGACCCUUCAUUUCAAAGACAAGUUUGGUGACUCAGAACAGGGUUGACUCUGCAUGUUACCCCCAGGGUGGUGUCACCAGCUUUGCCAACAACACACUAUCCUGAUGUACAACCCCCGGCCAAUGCCCCCAUUACCAUCAAACUGAGAGCCGAACAUACCUAGGUCUUGAAAAAAGGGAAGUCAGAACCACUAAUCAACAAUCAUAAGACCACAUCAAGUCUCUUUAGCACUGUCUCCUCCCACACACUUACUCUCCUCCACCAGACUCAAUUCCACCAUCCUCCCUCCACAGGUCGCUGCAGGGCAGGGAGUGUCAGAACAAACUGAACCCCCAAAGAAUCCCAAGUGCAAGGAAGGACCCAAGGUCUCCUAGCAACAUGGAGGGUGGGGCAUGGAGCAGACAUUGGCUUAGACAGAGGUCAUGCUGGGUCCCCUCCAAGGGCAUCCUUGGCCCCAUUCAGAGGGCUCCGGACCAGGGCAGCCUCAGCCUAUAGCUCUGAAGCAGUUCAGAAGGAGCCAAGGAGGAAGGGGAAGGGAAGCUCUUGCCUGUGUGGGUGUGGGCAGUUAACCUCCAAACCCAUGGAUGAAGGGACAAAACCCCUCCGAAGUGGAGAAAAAAAGGUGAGGAGAGAGUUGCUUACUCUUGCUGUGUUGGCUAAGCAUUUCUCCAGGUGGUUUCGCUGUGAUGGAAGAAAUGUCUCCUCCCUCAUGCCAUCCCCUGACUCCCGGGCACCUAGCCGGACACAGAUCUGAUCCACUGGAAAAGCGGGAAUACAAACCUGUUGAAUUGAAGGGGGGAGAACUGGGUUGGCUCC
Molecule: long non-coding RNA, 1104 nt
Filed under: Canis lupus familiaris (dog)
Lineage: Eukaryota; Metazoa; Chordata; Mammalia; Carnivora; Canidae
Description: lncRNA (ENSCAFG00845010449.1)
Source: RNAcentral